GAUGAACGCUGGCGGCGUGCCUAAUACAUGCAAGUCGAGCGAACGGACGAGAAGCUUGCUUCUCUGAUGUUAGCGGCGGACGGGUGAGUAACACGUGGAUAACCUACCUAUAAGACUGGGAUAACUUCGGGAAACCGUAGCUAAUACCGGAUAAUAUUUUGAACCGCAUGGUUCAAAAGUGAAAGACGGUCUUGCUGUCACUUAUAGAUGGAUCCGCGCUGCAUUAGCUAGUUGGUAAGGUAACGGCUUACCAAGGCAACGAUGCAUAGCCGACCUGAGAGGGUGAUCGGCCACACUGGAACUGAGACACGGUCCAGACUCCUACGGGAGGCAGCAGUAGGGAAUCUUCCGCAAUGGGCGAAAGCCUGACGGAGCAACGCCGCGUGAGUGAUGAAGGUCUUCGGAUCGUAAAACUCUGUUAUUAGGGAAGAUCAUAUGCGUAAGUAACUGUGCACAUCUUGACGGUACCUAAUCAGAAAGCCACGGCUAACUACGUG
This 497-nucleotide ribosomal RNA is filed under the name uncultured bacterium. RNAcentral describes it as "partial 16S ribosomal RNA". It matches the Rfam family "Bacterial small subunit ribosomal RNA", at positions 28 to 507 of the family's 1533-position model. The record is from RNAcentral.